Long non-coding RNA from Eurytemora carolleeae, 323 nucleotides. RefSeq lists it as uncharacterized. Lineage: Eukaryota; Metazoa; Arthropoda; Copepoda; Calanoida; Temoridae. The transcript has 4 exons. The record is from RefSeq and is a predicted model, not a curated record.
UUCUCAGAAAAAAAAACUAUUUUAACAAUUGUUCUUCCUAGGACACCUGGCCAUUGUUUCGAGCGUUGAAGUUACCAUUUAUUGCUCAUCAUCUUGAUUUGAAGGAUUUUGGUCUGCCGGAGCUUGCAAAUUUUGAUGAUGAUCCUACGGUUCAUUCUUUAAUCAGGAGCUCAAGAGUGCAGAAGGAAGACGACCUGAAGAGGAAGUUCUCCGUAGACCCGUUUUCUAAACAUAAUUCCAAGCUUAGAGCUUACAGUAUCAAGUAUGUGAUAUGGUCUGACAGAUUUGGUUGCGGACCCAACUGUAAUUACAGGAUAUGUCUG